CAACUCUCAACAACGGAUAUCUUGGCUCUCAGAUCGAUGAAGAACGCAGCGAAAUGCGAUACGUAGUGUGAAUUGCAGAAAUACGUGAAUCAUCGAAUCUUUGAACGCAAAUUGCGCUCGAAGCUUCGGCCAAGAGCAUGUCUGCCUCAGCGUCGGGUU
Molecule: ribosomal RNA, 159 nt
Filed under: Pandorina morum
Lineage: Eukaryota; Viridiplantae; Chlorophyta; Chlorophyceae; Chlamydomonadales; Volvocaceae
Description: 5.8S ribosomal RNA
Rfam family: 5.8S ribosomal RNA
About the family: 5.8S ribosomal RNA (5.8S rRNA) is a component of the large subunit of the eukaryotic ribosome.
Source: RNAcentral